RNAcentral lists this long non-coding RNA (993 nucleotides) under Ixodes scapularis (black-legged tick). RNAcentral's name for it is "uncharacterized LOC115312947, transcript variant X1". The record is from RNAcentral. Lineage: Eukaryota; Metazoa; Arthropoda; Arachnida; Ixodida; Ixodidae.
GUUGGGUGGCGACGUUUUAACCGUCGAUAACCAGCUGAAGCAGCUCAAGUUCUCGAGUGGAACGAGGUUGACCGUGCGCAGUGGCAGCCGUUGACAACAAAAACAAUGUAUGCACUAAGUUUCGCCGGAUAAGUGCCGGCGUCGAUCGCGAACCGCCAGAGCCGCCAAAUACCUCUCGUACAUCUCCAAGAACACCAAGAACAGGAGGUAUUCGUAAAGGUCUGAACCACGCGAGGAUCGUCUCGAAGCAUGGUAGCCUCAACAGACGCUUGCCGCCACACGCGAGGAGAAAGCAGGAGGCCCGAAGUUUGAAUGUGAAGAGGAGGUGCGAAGAGCUGGCCCUCACUUUUUCAAGGCAGCCGCAGAACACUACGAGCCCCGAAUCACUGCCGCGGCUGACUCACGCGGAUGCUGUGCUGCACCCUGCACUGCACAUGGUUCGAAGCACACUUCAGGGGACCAGUGCAUGCCCCUGAUGCAUCGUCGCGGUCCCGGGGAUCAUGGCAUCGAUGAGCUCGCUUUCGCCUUGUCCAAGGUAGCAGCGGAACACUACGGGCAGGCCCGGAGUCACCGCACCGGCUGGCUCACGGGCGUCGUCCUGUACUCUGCACGGCACUGCGUGUGGCUUAAUCGGCCAAGCAGAGGGUCACUGCAUGACCUUUAUGAGGCGUCGCUAGCCAUUGUUUCAAAUCGUCCUGAUUCAUGGGCCAAGCCUUUCAAGACUGCACUCUUAGGCCCAGUCCUUUUUGGUGGAUCGGAUCUUGCCAUCUUCCCCUCUCGUGGCUUCCUGUUGUACUUAAAUAAAUUGUCAUAUUUUUUUCUUAUGGUGGUGCAUACGUUUUGCCACACUUCACAAAAACAGUGUGGUGAAUCCAUGCCGCAGAUUACUGUGAAACGUGCAGGAAGGGUAAACUCCGAAAAGGUUUAUGGAAAGAAGAUAGACAUCCCCCAUUAAUUUUUUCUGGACACUCUAAGCGUGCUAUCUACGCAGUA